This 594-nucleotide ribosomal RNA is filed under the name uncultured bacterium. RNAcentral describes it as "bacterial SSU rRNA". It matches the Rfam family "Bacterial small subunit ribosomal RNA", at positions 31 to 608 of the family's 1533-position model. The record is from RNAcentral.
UGACGCUGGCGGCAGGCCUAACACAUGCCAAGUCGAACGCGAAAGUGACUUCGGUCUGCAGAGUAGAGUGGCGGACGGGUGAGUAACGCGUGGGAUCUACCCAGUAGUGGGGGACAACGUCCGGAAACGGGCGCUAAUACCGCAUACGCCCUACGGGGGAAAGCGGGGGAUCUUUCGGGACCUCGUGCUAGUGGAUGAGCCCGCGUCAGAUUAGCUGGUUGGUGGGGUAAUGGCCUACCAAGGCGACGAUCUGUAGCUGGUCUGAGAGGAUGAUCAGCCACACUGGAACUGAGACACGGUCCAACUCCUACGGGAGGCAGCAGUGGGGAACUAUUGCACAAUGGGCGCAAGCCUGAUGCAGCCAUGCCGCGUGUGUGAAGAAGGCUUUCGGGUUGUAAAGCACUUUCAGUGGGGAGGAAAGGGUGUCGGUUAAUACCUGGCAUCUGUGACGUUUACCCACAAGAAGAAGCACCGGCUAAACUCCGUGCCAAGGCAGCCGCGGUAAUACGGAGGGUGCGAGCGUUUAAUCGGAAUUACUGGGCGUAAAGCGCGCGUAGUGCGGUAAAGUUAAGCACGCUUGUGAAAGCCCCGGGG